UAUAAAAAAUUCGGACCGUAAACUGACACUAGUAAAUAUAUAUAAAUUAUUAAGAAGUUGAGAUAAUUUUUUUUAAGGAACUCGGCAAAUUUAUCUCGUAACUUAGGGAGAAGAGAUACUUAUUUAGUUGAAAACAAAAAAUUUAAGCGACUGUUUAACAAAAACACAAAUCUUUGCUAAAUCGAAAGAUGAUGUAUAAAGAUUGACAUCUGCCCAGUGCUAUUAUGUAAAAAUAAUAUUUAUAAUUUAAAAUUAUAAAAUAUAUAUAAGCUAUAGUAAACGGCGGCUGUAUCUAUAACGGUCCAAAGGUAGCGAAAUUCCUUGUCGGGUAAGUUCCGACCUGCAUGAAAGAUGUAACGACUUAAAUGCUGUCUUAAAAAAAAUCUUAAUGAAAUAAAAUUAUCUGUGAAGAUGCAGAUUUCUUAUAUUAGGACAGAAAGACCCUAUGAAGCUUUACUAUUAAUAGAUAUUGAAAAUAUAUAUGUAUAACAUAGAAUAAAUGGGAAGUAGAGAUAUUAUUUUUUUGGAAAUAAUGUAAUUAUCAAUGAAAUACCAUUUUAUAUAUAUAUAAAUUCUUAUAAAAUUUUUAUAACAAAAUUUUUAACAAUAUUUAUAAGAUAGUUUGACUGGGGCGGUCUCCUCCUAUAUAGAAACGGAGGUGUACAAUGUUAUAUUUAUUAUAUAAAGAUAAAUAUAUAAUUAACUGUAAAAUUUACAAAUUAAACAGAGAUUAACGUCGGUCUUAAUGAUCCGAUAAUUAUUUAAUAAUAAAAUUAUCGCUUAACGGAUAAAAGUUACUCUAGGGAUAACAGGCUAAUCUUUUCCGAGAGUCCAUAUUGACGAAAAGGUUUGGCACCUCGAUGUCGGCUUAUCGCAUCCUAAGGCAGUAGUAUGUUUUAAGGGUAAGUCUGUUCGCCUAUUAAAGCGAUACGUGAGCUGGGUUCAGAACGUCGUGAGACAGUUCGGUCCAUAUCUAAUAUAAGUGUUAGAAUAUUGAAAUUAUUUUUUCUAGUACGAGAGGAUCGAAAAAAUUAUACCAAUGAUAUAUCAAUUAUUAUAUAUUGUAAUGUUGAGUAGUUAAGUAUAAAAUUUUAAUUGUUGAAGUAAUAUAAAUAAGAAAAUUUAAUUAAAAAUAAUAUUCUAAUCAUAUAAAUGAAUAAAACAAUAAUUAGAAAAAUUAUUUUAUAGAAUUAAUAUGUAUUUAUAGUAAUAUAUUUAGUAUAUAAUUCCUAAUAAGUUGAAUAUUUAAUUAU
This 1253-nucleotide non-coding RNA is filed under the name Plasmodium yoelii yoelii. RNAcentral's name for it is "Bacterial large subunit ribosomal RNA". It matches the Rfam family "Bacterial large subunit ribosomal RNA", at positions 1632 to 2925 of the family's 2925-position model. The record is from Rfam by way of RNAcentral. Lineage: Eukaryota; Apicomplexa; Aconoidasida; Haemosporida; Plasmodiidae.